Molecule: ribosomal RNA, 274 nt
Filed under: uncultured bacterium
Lineage: Bacteria
Description: partial 16S ribosomal RNA
Rfam family: Bacterial small subunit ribosomal RNA
Source: RNAcentral
AUACAGAGGGUGCGAGCGUUAAUCGGAAUUACUGGGCGUAAAGCGCGCGUAGGCGGCUUGGUCAGUCGGAUGUGAAAGCCCCGGGCUCAACCUGGGAAUGGCAUUCGAUACUGCCAGGCUAGAGUAUGGGAGAGGGAAGUGGAAUUUCCGGUGUAGCGGUGAAAUGCGUAGAUACCGGAAGGAACACCAGUGGCGAAGGCGACUUCCUGGCCCAAUCCUGACGCUGAGGUGCGAAAGCGUGGGGAGCGAACAGGAGUAGAUACCCCAGUAGUCC